This 250-nucleotide ribosomal RNA is filed under the name uncultured bacterium. RNAcentral's name for it is "partial 16S ribosomal RNA". It matches the Rfam family "Bacterial small subunit ribosomal RNA", at positions 524 to 773 of the family's 1533-position model. The record is from RNAcentral.
UACGGAGGGAGCAAGCGUUACUCGGAAUUAUUGGGCGUAAAGGGCGCGUAGGUGGCUAAACAAGUCACCUGUGAAAGCCCCCGGCUUAACUGGGGAAGUGCAGGUGAAACUGUUUGGAUUGAGUUCCGGAGAGGAAGACAGAAUUCCCGGUGUAGCGGUGAAAUGCGUAGAGAUCGGGAGGAAUACCAGUGGCGAAGGCGGUCUUCUGGACGGAUACUGACGCUGAGGCGCGAAAGCCAGGGGAGCAAAC